GUGAGUAUAGUUUAUUAAAACCCUAGUCUGUGACUCUAGAAAUGGGGGUUAAUCACCCCCUACCCACC
Molecule: transfer RNA, 68 nt
Filed under: Hyloxalus subpunctatus (Bogota rocket frog)
Lineage: Eukaryota; Metazoa; Chordata; Amphibia; Anura; Dendrobatidae
Description: tRNA-His
Rfam family: tRNA
About the family: Transfer RNA (tRNA) molecules are approximately 80 nucleotides in length. Their secondary structure includes four short double-helical elements and three loops (D, anti-codon, and T loops). Further hydrogen bonds mediate the characteristic L-shaped molecular structure. tRNAs have two regions of fundamental functional importance: the anti-codon, which is responsible for specific mRNA codon recognition, and the 3' end, to which the tRNAs corresponding amino acid is attached (by aminoacyl-tRNA synthetases). tRNAs cope with the degeneracy of the genetic code in two manners: having more than one tRNA (with a specific anti-codon) for a particular amino acid; and 'wobble' base-pairing, i.e. permitting non-standard base-pairing at the 3rd anti-codon position.
Source: RNAcentral